Molecule: ribosomal RNA, 733 nt
Filed under: Pediococcus acidilactici
Lineage: Bacteria; Bacillati; Bacillota; Bacilli; Lactobacillales; Lactobacillaceae
Description: bacterial SSU rRNA
Rfam family: Bacterial small subunit ribosomal RNA
Source: RNAcentral
AUCAUCAGUGGCGAAGGCGGGCUGUCUGGUCUGUAACUGACGCUGAGGGCUCGAAAGCAUGGGUAGCGAACAGGAUUAGAUAUCCUGGUAGUCCCAUGCCGUAAACGAUGAUUACUAAGUGUUGGAGGGUUUCCGCCCUUCAGUGCUGCAGCUAACGCAUUAAGUAAUCCGCCUGGGGAGUACGACCGCAAGGUUGAAACUCAAAAGAAUUGACGGGGGCCCGCACAAGCGGUGGAGCAUGUGGUUUAAUUCGAAGCUACGCGAAGAACCUUACCAGGUCUUGACAUCUUCUGCCAACCUAAGAGAUUAGGCGUUCCCUUCGGGGACAGAAUGACAGGUGGUGCAUGGUUGUCGUCAGCUCGUGUCGUGAGAUGUUGGGUUAAGUCCCGCAACGAGCGCAACCCUUAUUACUAGUUGCCAGCAUUCAGUUGGGCACUCUAGUGAGACUGCCGGUGACAAACCGGAGGAAGGUGGGGACGACGUCAAAUCAUCAUGCCCCUUAUGACCUGGGCUACACACGUGCUACAAUGGAUGGUACAACGAGUCGCGAAACCGCGAGGUUUAGCUAAUCUCUUAAAACCAUUCUCAGUUCGGACUGUAGGCUGCAACUCGCCUACACGAAGUCGGAAUCGCUAGUAAUCGCGGAUCAGCAUGCCGCGGUGAAUACGUUCCCGGGCCUUGUACACACCGCCCGUCACACCAUGAGAGUUUGUAACACCCAAAGCCGGUGGGG